ACGGGUGAGUAAUAUAUCGGAACGUGCCCAAUCGUGGGGGAUAACGUAGAGAAAUUUACGCUAAUACCGCAUACGAUCUAAGGAUGAAAGCGGGGGAUCGCAAGACCUCGCGCGAUUGGAGCGGCUGAUAUCAGAUUAGGUUGUUGGUGAGGUAAAAGCUCACCAAGCCGACGAUCUGUAGCUGGUUUGAGAGAACGACCAGCCACACUGGGACUGAGACACGGCCCAGACUCCUACGGGAGGCAGCAGUGGGGAAUUUUGGACAAUGGGCGAAAGCCUGAUCCAGCAAUGCCGCGUGCAGGAAGAAGGCCUUCGGGUUGUAAACUGCUUUUGUACGGAACGAAACGGCUCUUUCUAAUAAAGAGGGCUAAUGACGGUACCGUAAGAAUAAGCACCGGCUAACUACGUGCCAGCAGCCGCGGUAAUACGUAGGGUGCGAGCGUUAAUCGGAAUUACUGGGCGUAAAGCGUGCGCAGGCGGUUAUGUAAGACAGUUGUGAAAUCCCCGGGCUCAACCUGGGAAUUGCAUCUGUGACUGCAUAGCUAGAGUACGGUAGAGGGGGAUGGAAUUCCGCGUGUAGCAGU
RNAcentral lists this ribosomal RNA (584 nucleotides) under Polaromonas sp. RDB-115. Its description in RNAcentral is "bacterial SSU rRNA". It matches the Rfam family "Bacterial small subunit ribosomal RNA", at positions 102 to 682 of the family's 1533-position model. The record is from RNAcentral. Lineage: Bacteria; Pseudomonadati; Pseudomonadota; Betaproteobacteria; Burkholderiales; Comamonadaceae. RNAcentral also lists the same sequence under 4 other names.